AGACUACCAGCUUUUGCAUUUUGCCAAAGUGAUGCAGUAGCAGAAAUUAUUGCUAGCCAUGAAUUGGAGAUUUUAACUCUUGCAACUUUGUCAUCCAUCAAGGUACAGCUCUAAAUUUGUAACUUUAUCAUCCAUAACCAAACAUUAUUUUUAUAAUGUAAUAUUGGAUAAAACCUAAUUUUUUAAAUCAUGCUUGUGUGGUCCAGUGUGUCAGUUCAAAUAGAUAGUGCACCUUAGACAGGAGUUUCUUGCUUGAAGAUUGUAGCUCUCACCUUCCUUCGCCUUUCUCUCUUUUUCCGCAGGAUUGUUUUCUCACAGCCUAUUUGGAUAUCUUCUAAAAAUAGGAAUUUAAUUCUAUCAAAGUCUGUUUGAGUAAAUUCUUUCAUAAAUCCAAUAUAUUAUAUACCGUGUCCAUUAUGUUGAAGAAAAUGAGAAACAAACAGUUCAAAAUCGAAUGAUAAGAAAUUGAAUUUUGCAAGAAUUGGUUACAAAAGCG
RNAcentral lists this unclassified non-coding RNA (496 nucleotides) under Hevea brasiliensis (rubber tree). Lineage: Eukaryota; Viridiplantae; Streptophyta; Magnoliopsida; Malpighiales; Euphorbiaceae. The record is from RNAcentral.